UACGUAGGGGGCGAGCGUUGUCCGGAUUUACUGGGCGUAAAGCGUCCGCAGGCGGCCCGCUAAGUCUGGUGUGAAAGCCCUCCGCUCAACGGGGGGAGGUCAUCGGAGACUGGCGGGCUGGAGGAUAGCAGAGGGGGACGGAAUUCCCGGAGUAGUGGUGAUAUGCGUAGAGACCGGGAGGAACACCGGCGGCGAAGGCGGUCCCCUGGGCUACUCCUGACGCUCAUGGACGAAAGCGUGGGGAGCGAAC
This 250-nucleotide ribosomal RNA is filed under the name uncultured bacterium. Its description in RNAcentral is "partial 16S ribosomal RNA". It matches the Rfam family "Bacterial small subunit ribosomal RNA", at positions 524 to 773 of the family's 1533-position model. The record is from RNAcentral.